GCCCUGGCAACAUGCAAAAACAACUCUCAUCAGACUCUGAUUCAAGUCCCGUGGUGCUAAAUUCUGAUUGGUGAACAGAAUGGUAGAAAAAAAAAAAUACAGAAACCAACUGAACCGUUGAUUGAUUUAAAUGGAUGCAAAACAGAAGCUGCGGCUUUAUCUGGUAACAGCAGUGACACACUGUCACUUGACCUUCAAGUAAUUCCGCUGCUUUGCUUUUUUGGGCCUAAGCAUCAAAAGAUGCCAAUCUGCCUCAGAUUAUAACUACAUGAGCAUCUGCAAAGGCAGCAGAGCUUCUCAGCAUAAUUACAAGUCCACCACCGAGGCACAAAGAGAGUCAGCUCUGACAGAACGACAGCAUUGUGCUUGAUGUUAUUAGAACAUAGUUAUUUGAUUACGGUAUGAAAAAGAUGCCUCCUGCCCUUAUUGGAUGAUGUCAGUGAGCUGAAUAGAGUGUUCCUUGCCUUGAAGUAAAUUAGCUCAUACAAUAAGUCAAAAAAGUAGUUUGUGUGCUUACAUAGACUAAUUAUUAGAGCCGAUCUACAUUCAAUAUUUUGAUCAAUAUACUUGCCGACUAUUACGUAGCAUCCAUGACCCUGCAUGCUGCGAUGGCGCUGAUGAGGAAGUUGUGCUAAUUUAGCCUUAAGCCUUACAAACCAAUCUGAACAGAGUCAUAACUAAGACACAGCAUUUUAAAUCUGACCUUUCGACUUAAUCUUGUGGCGCCUGUGGAUGUAAACGGUGAAGCAACCAAAGUCGUCCACGCGACAGAGCGGAAAGCUGUGGGUGCAAUAAAAUGACUUAAUUCUCCUCCAUAUAUUCACCGUAGCCAAAUAACUACGCAAGAACAUAAAGAUCUCUGACGCCUGUGAUUAAAUGUUCCUCGUAGUUCCUUUAGUAUUCAGUGCUGUAAUCGAUAGUAGUUCCUCAAAAAGAUAUAUAUGUGAGUGUGUGUGUGUGUGUGUGUGUGUGUGUGUGUGUUGUGUGUGUGUGUGUGUGUGUGUGUGUGUGUCUGUCCGUGUCUGUGUAGAGCACUAGUUUAAAGAAGGAGGAUGUAAUUGAGUCAAACAAAUCAACCUUGCUAUUGCAUUUGAAUCUCAAAGAAGCCCUUCCAAUUUAACUACAAUUAAAAAUGACAGACCUCAUAUGACAUAACAUCCGUGGUAUCCAUUAUAAUGUAUAAUAAUGUAAUCCAUUAUUAUAGUAUAAGGUGAGACAAACACAGGCGUGGAGUAAAAGCUAAGCUACCU
Molecule: long non-coding RNA, 1250 nt
Organism: Gasterosteus aculeatus aculeatus (three-spined stickleback)
Lineage: Eukaryota; Metazoa; Chordata; Actinopteri; Perciformes; Gasterosteidae
Source: Ensembl